This 87-nucleotide non-coding RNA is filed under the name fish gut metagenome. RNAcentral describes it as "Purine riboswitch". It matches the Rfam family "Purine riboswitch aptamer", at positions 7 to 97 of the family's 102-position model. From Rfam's summary of the family: Riboswitches are metabolite binding domains within certain messenger RNAs that serve as precision sensors for their corresponding targets. Allosteric rearrangement of mRNA structure is mediated by ligand binding, and this results in modulation of gene expression. A class of riboswitches that selectively recognises guanine and becomes saturated at concentrations as low as 5 nM. The record is from RNAcentral.
UAUAAUAAAAAAUCUCAUAUAUACCCAUAAUAUGGCUGGGAGUUUCUACGGUUUACCUUAAAUUAACCGCUAUGAGUGAAAAAAAUG